Molecule: ribosomal RNA, 465 nt
Filed under: uncultured Klebsiella sp.
Lineage: Bacteria; Pseudomonadati; Pseudomonadota; Gammaproteobacteria; Enterobacterales; Enterobacteriaceae
Description: bacterial SSU rRNA
Rfam family: Bacterial small subunit ribosomal RNA
Source: RNAcentral
CCUACGGGAGGCAGCAGUGGGGAAUAUUGCACAAUGGGCGCAAGCCUGAUGCAGCCAUGCCGCGUGUGUGAAGAAGGCCUUCGGGUUGUAAAGCACUUUCAGCGGGGAGGAAGGCGUUAAGGUUAAUAACCUUGUCGAUUGACGUUACCCGCAGAAGAAGCACCGGCUAACUCCGUGCCAGCAGCCGCGGUAAUACGGAGGGUGCAAGCGUUAAUCGGAAUUACUGGGCGUAAAGCGCACGCAGGCGGUCUGUCAAGUCGGAUGUGAAAUCCCCGGGCUCAACCUGGGAACUGCAUUCGAAACUGGCAGGCUAGAGUCUUGUAGAGGGGGGUAGAAUUCCAGGUGUAGCGGUGAAAUGCGUGGAGAUCUGGAGGAAUACCGGUGGCGAAGGCGGCCCCCUGGACAAAGACUGACGCUCAGGUACGAAAGCGUGGGGAGCAAACAGGAUUAGAUACCCGAGUAGUC